This 516-nucleotide ribosomal RNA is filed under the name Pseudomonadota bacterium. RNAcentral describes it as "Proteobacteria bacterium (activated sludge metagenome) partial 23S ribosomal RNA". It matches the Rfam family "Bacterial large subunit ribosomal RNA", at positions 2414 to 2925 of the family's 2925-position model. Lineage: Bacteria; Pseudomonadati; Pseudomonadota. The record is from RNAcentral.
AGUGAUCCGGUGGUUCUGUAUGGAAGGGCCAUCGCUCAACGGAUAAAAGGUACUCUGGGGAUAACAGGCUGAUACCGCCCAAGAGUUCAUAUCGACGGCGGUGUUUGGCACCUCGAUGUCGGCUCAUCUCAUCCUGGGGCUGUAGCCGGUCCCAAGGGUAUGGCUGUUCGCCAUUUAAAGAGGUACGUGAGCUGGGUUUAAAACGUCGUGAGACAGUUUGGUCCCUAUCUUCCGUGGGCGCUGCAAGAUUGAGAGAGCCUGCUCCUAGUACGAGAGGACCGGAGUGGACGCACCUCUGGUGUACCGGUUGUCACGCCAGUGGCAUUGCCGGGUAGCUAAGUGCGGAAGAGAUAACCGCUGAAAGCAUCUAAGCGGGAAACUCGUCUCAAGAUGAGUCUUGCCGGGGACUUGAGCCCCCUGAAGAGUCGUCCGAGACCAGGACGUUGAUAGGUCGGGUGUGGAAGCGUAGUAAUGCGUUGAGCUAACCGAUACUAAUUGCUCGUGCGGCUUGACCCU